This 410-nucleotide ribosomal RNA is filed under the name uncultured microorganism. RNAcentral describes it as "bacterial SSU rRNA". It matches the Rfam family "Archaeal small subunit ribosomal RNA", at positions 330 to 745 of the family's 1478-position model. The record is from RNAcentral.
GUGCAGCGCGAAAACUUCACACUGUGCGAAAGCACGAUGAGGGAAUCCCAAGUGCUUGCACGUAAGUGUAAGCUGUUUCUCUGUUUAAAACGCAGAGAGAGUAAGGGCUGGGUAAGACGGGUGCCAGCCGCCGCGGUAAUACCUGCAGCUCAAGUGGUGACCGUUAUUAUUGGGCCUAAAACGUCCGUAGCCGGUUUAAUAAAUGCCUGGGUAAAUCGUGUAGCUUAACUAUACGAAUUCCGGGUAGACUGUUAAACUCGAGACCGGGAGAAGUUAGAGGUACUCCUGGGGUAGAGGUGAAAUUCUGUAAUCCUAGGGGGACCACCAGUGGCGAAGGCGUCUAACUAGAACGGGUCUGACGGUGAGGGACGAAGCCCUGGGGCGCAAACGGGAUUAGAUACCCCUGUAGU